UGUUUUAGAUUGUUCUUUGUUAUAGGAGCUGAAUAUUUGAGAGCAACAUGAAGACUAAAUACUCUCACAUAUUCCUGGUGUCAAAAAUUCUUGUGUGGCAAGGAAACAGCAGUACAUCUCCUGAUCUCCAGACAGCAUGGGAACAGCUGAAUCAUCCAGUCCUUCUGUCCUCUUGUUUGUCACAUACAGAAACACCUUACUGCUUCCUGCAUAUGAAGAAGUGUAUUUUUUAAGGUAAGAUCUGUUAUAAAGCUGCCUUUCAGGAAUUCUUUUCUGGCUUCAAGAUACAAUGCCAACACUGAAAUCCAAAUGAGGUUCAAAUUCACAUGUCAUCAAAUUCUGUUAAUUUCACUGGCUCUGCAGCCACAAGUCAUUUGAUUUCAUGCUGUGUGAAACUGCAAGAGAGAACAAUGAUCAGACUCCUAGCAUAGCUUCCUAUGGAGCAUUGGCAGUGGUCUCAUAUAUUGACCUAAUAGCCUAGGAGGAUUUCUGUCAUGGUGCAGAAGGUUAAGUGGUGCGUUGAUUUCAGAGAGGAGAGAAAUAUCUGGUGGGGAAGUAAAAUGAGAAUAUCAAAUUAAUUUUCACUUUUGA
This 591-nucleotide long non-coding RNA is filed under the name Parus major (Great Tit). RNAcentral describes it as "lncRNA (ENSPMJG00000008171.1)". The record is from RNAcentral. Lineage: Eukaryota; Metazoa; Chordata; Aves; Passeriformes; Paridae.